This 893-nucleotide long non-coding RNA is filed under the name Salmo trutta (river trout). RNAcentral's name for it is "lncRNA (ENSSTUG00000003089.1)". Lineage: Eukaryota; Metazoa; Chordata; Actinopteri; Salmoniformes; Salmonidae. The record is from RNAcentral.
CAGCCUGGCUGUUUAUAUAAUGAAAAGUGAAACUGUGACGUGGCCCUUCUUCUUUCCUCUCAGUCAGAACCUAUGAUUAGGGUCAAAAUUACACUUUUUCUUUUGCUUGUCACACUGGGUGAAUUAUUCUGAGUGGCAGGAACAACUAUCUCUCAUACUGUCCUUGCAUUGGUUUUGUUUGUACCGUAAAACAUUGCCAGGUUAUGGAAAUUCAGCUCUGACUAGAAAAUAGAGGACUUUGUUGAAGUACCAAAGGUUCAUUGAUAAACUGAGACCCUGCGUUGUAAAGAGACAUGGAGGCUGUUUUAGGACUGUUGGUGAUCUCAGCUGGAGUGUCUCAUGGCUCGGAGACUUCCUGUGAUGCUAGACAGAAUGGAUGUCAGUGUUAUGGAGCUCUGGGAGGAACUGUCUAUCUCCAGCUGGUGACUGAUGCCACGAGAUAUGAUGAUCUCUUAUUUUAUAAAGACCCAACUGGUGCUAAAACAGAGAUACUCAGAUCGAAGAAGGACAAAUGGAUAACAAAAGACAGCCCCAUUAAAGACAGAGUACACUUCUUUAUAAACAAUGGGACAUUUAGAUUAAAUAACACAAGAAGUACAGAUUCUGGUGAAUAUCUGCUAGAAACAUUUAAUUCAGCAGGGAAAUCAUCAGGGAUCAGAGGACUACAACUGUUCAUCGAAGCUCCAGUGUCCAGUCCUCAGCUGUCCUCUGAGUGUCUGUCCCAUGGAGAGAUGAAGGUGUCCUGUUCCUCUGAGGGGGAUGGUCCCCAGUACAGCUGGACUCUGGAUGGACAGACACUGAACGACACUGAGACAAACACCAUCACUCUGAAGAAAGGCCUGUCAGGAAAUCUCACCUGUACCAUCAGAAACGUAAUUCAGAUACACAUGUGA